RNAcentral lists this ribosomal RNA (432 nucleotides) under uncultured bacterium. RNAcentral's name for it is "bacterial SSU rRNA". It matches the Rfam family "Bacterial small subunit ribosomal RNA", at positions 338 to 787 of the family's 1533-position model. The record is from RNAcentral.
CCUACGGGGGGCAGCAGUGGGGAAUAUUGGACAAUGGGCGAAAGCCUGAUCCAGCAAUGCCGCGUGAGUGAUGAAGGCCUUAGGGUUGUAAAGCUCUUUUACCCGGGAUGAUAAUGACAGUACCGGGAGAAUAAGCUCCGGCUAACUCCGUGCCAGCAGCCGCGGUAAUACGGAGGGAGCUAGCGUUAUUCGGAAUUACUGGGCGUAAAGCGCACGUAGGCGGCUUUGUAAGUAAGAGGUGAAAGCCCAGAGCUCAACUCUGGAAUUGCCUUUUAGACUGCAUCGCUUGAAUCAUGGAGAGGUCAGUGGAAUUCCGAGUGUAGAGGUGAAAUUCGUAGAUAUUCGGAAGAACACCAGUGGCGAAGGCGGCUGACUGGACAUGUAUUGACGCUGAGGUGCGAAAGCGUGGGGAGCAAACAGGAUUAGAUACCC